GGUCCCGUAGUUCAGCUGAAUAGAACGUCAGAUUCCGGUUCUGAAGGCCGGGGGUUUGAAUCCCUCCGGGAUCA
Molecule: transfer RNA, 74 nt
Filed under: Bacteroidales bacterium
Lineage: Bacteria; Pseudomonadati; Bacteroidota; Bacteroidia; Bacteroidales
Description: tRNA-Arg
Rfam family: tRNA
About the family: Transfer RNA (tRNA) molecules are approximately 80 nucleotides in length. Their secondary structure includes four short double-helical elements and three loops (D, anti-codon, and T loops).
Source: RNAcentral